AAACGGUCGAUGAACGAAACGAGUACGUUUGUAAAGACGGUUGCAGCGAGCCGACGGCGGUGAGAGGUCGGUACAGUCGACAGGCGGAAUGGAUUCGCGAGAUGCGUCCUGAAAGGCGACGAGUAGGGUGCGACGGUGUAUCUCCACCGUUAUGAAAGAGACUUGUAUCGCAGAUGCCGUACAUGUGGAGCCGGGCUUCUAGCCAAUAAGGGUGGUACCGCGGAAGAGUAAUGACCUUUCGUCCCUAUA
RNAcentral lists this non-coding RNA (249 nucleotides) under Megasphaera geminata. Its description in RNAcentral is "Anaeroglobus geminatus T-box sequence". It matches the Rfam family "T-box leader". Rfam says of the family: Uncharged tRNA acts as the effector for transcription antitermination of genes in the T-box leader family. T-boxes are found upstream of many aminoacyl-tRNA synthetase genes and some amino acid biosynthetic genes usually in Gram-positive bacteria. The anticodon of a specific tRNA base pairs to a specifier sequence within the T-box motif, and the NCCA acceptor tail of the tRNA base pairs to a conserved bulge in the T-box antiterminator hairpin. Lineage: Bacteria; Bacillati; Bacillota; Negativicutes; Veillonellales; Veillonellaceae. The record is from RNAcentral.